Molecule: long non-coding RNA, 557 nt
Organism: Tribolium castaneum (red flour beetle)
Lineage: Eukaryota; Metazoa; Arthropoda; Insecta; Coleoptera; Tenebrionidae
Exons: 2
Source: RefSeq, a predicted model, not a curated record
AAAUCCAGCAAAGAAUUCGAUUGAAAGACUGCCUGAUUUAUGAAAUUGUGAAAAUUGACUUGGGACCAGUGCCAACGUGGAGUUACAAAGAUGCAAUUUUACUAAAAUAAUUUUCAAUACUUGCGUGUACAUUAUUGUUUGUAAGAUAUUACAUCACAACACCGCAAGCUAAUUGUAUUGGCAUGGAAAACAACUUAUCCGAGAUUUCCCGAGUGUAAUAAAAUUUUGGAUAGUUUGAAAAUUAUUCAAGCAGAAUAGUUUAUUAUUGUAUGUGUUACUUCAGAUAUUACAGAUGCCAACAUGUGAUUUAUUUUAUGGUUGUGGUAGUUUGAGUAAAAGUUUUACAAUUGGACACAAAUUUUCGAUUCAAAUCGAACAUGACUGUUUUUAUUUUGAAUAAACUAAACUGUUCAACCCAGACUGUUAAAUUAUUUUUGUAAUUUUUUAUUCUAAUCGCUCAGAAUAAGUACUUAAAUUUCUGAUAAAGGUGGCCUAUGAUUUUAAAUUAAGUUGGCAACAUUGAGAAAUGUAGAGACACAAGUUUCUUAAAAUAAUAC